AACGCACCUUGCGCUCCUUGGUAUUCCGAGGAGCAUGCCUGUUUGAGUGUCAUUAAAUUCUCAACCUCACCAGUUUUGUAAUGAGACUGUGUAAGGCUUGGAUGUGGGGGUUUUUGCAGGCUGCCUCUGGCGGUCUGCUCCCCUGAAAUGCAUUAGCGAGUUCACUAAGCUCCGUCUAUUGGUGUGAUAAUUAUCUACGCCGUGGAAGGGGUUUAGACUUGCUUCUAACCGUCUGCAAAGACAACUUUUGACAAUUUGACCUCAAAUCAGGUAGGACUACCCGCUGAACUUAA
Molecule: unclassified non-coding RNA, 293 nt
Filed under: uncultured Coprinellus
Lineage: Eukaryota; Fungi; Basidiomycota; Agaricomycetes; Agaricales; Psathyrellaceae
Description: sequence contains ITS2
Rfam family: 5.8S ribosomal RNA (bases 1-52)
Source: RNAcentral